GCGUGUGUGAAGAAGGCUUUCGGGUUGUAAAGCACUUUCAGCGAGGAAGAAGGCCUCUGGGUUAAUACCCCAGAGGAAGGACAUCACUCGCAGAAGAAGCACCGGCUAACUCCGUGCCAGCAGCCGCGGUAAUACGGAGGGUGCGAGCGUUAAUCGGAAUUACUGGGCGUAAAGCGCGCGUAGGUGGCUUGGCACGCCGGUUGUGAAAGCCCCGGGCUCAACCUGGGAACGGCAUCCGGAACGGCCAGGCUAGAGUGCAGGAGAGGAAGGUAGAAUUCCCGGUGUAGCGGUGAAAUGCGUAGAGAUCGGGAGGAAUACCAGUGGCGAAGGCGGCCUUCUGGCCUGACACUGACACUGAGGUGCGAAAGCGUGGGUAGCAAACAGGAUUAGAUACCCUGGUAGUCCACGCCGUAAACGAUGUCGACUAGCCGUUGGGACCUUUAAGGACUUAGUGGCGCAGUUAACGCGAUAAGUCGACCGCCUGGGGAGUACGGCCGCAAGGUUAAAACUCAAAUGAAUUGACGGGGGCCCGCACAAGCGGUGGAGCAUGUGGUUUAAUUCGAUGCAACGCGAAGAACCUUACCUACCCUUGACAUCCAGAGAACUUUCCAGAGAUGGAUUGGUGCCUUCGGGAACUCUGAGACAGGUGCUGCAUGGCUGUCGUCAGCUCGUGUUGUGAAAUGUUGGGUUAAGUCCCGUAACGAGCGCAACCCUUGUCCUUAUUUGCCAGCGAUUCGGUCGGGAACUCUAAGGAGACUGCCGGUGACAAACCGGAGGAAG
Molecule: ribosomal RNA, 780 nt
Filed under: Salinicola sp. M123
Lineage: Bacteria; Pseudomonadati; Pseudomonadota; Gammaproteobacteria; Oceanospirillales; Halomonadaceae
Description: bacterial SSU rRNA
Rfam family: Bacterial small subunit ribosomal RNA
Source: RNAcentral